This 1405-nucleotide long non-coding RNA is filed under the name Cyanistes caeruleus (blue tit). RNAcentral's name for it is "lncRNA (ENSCCEG00000010678.1)". The record is from RNAcentral. Lineage: Eukaryota; Metazoa; Chordata; Aves; Passeriformes; Paridae.
GAACUACAUAGAUAGAUGGCUGGAGGUAGGACUCAGCUGCAAAAAACUUCAAGCCCACUCAAGUUGAAGAGGACAUGGAUGUCAAAUGUCUGACUUUUGUGUCAAAGACACUGACUACUGAGCAAAAGACUGCAUCCUGAUAUUUCUCCAAAUUAAGACUUUCUUGGAGUGUUUGCAGGUUGAAAAUCUUGGGUUCAGAGUUGACUCAGCAUAAAACAAUGUGGAAAUAGGAAUUUUGCCAGUUUUAAUGUCAUUUGCACAUGACAUAAGUUUUUUAUUUGAGCUUUGAUUUUGUUAAUAAAAUAUUCAGAGCAGUUCCUGCCAAGUGUUACACUGCCAGCAGACCUGGUACACAGUGAGGUUUGUUUUAAUACAGUCAUAAUGUUGAAAAAAGUGGGUUUUGACCUUUCUGCCCACUUACCUUAUUUCAGCUGUUUAUACUAAGCCAUGAAACUUCUAAACUGUCCAUUUACAGGAUAUUGACUUAAAAGAACAAAAUUUUGUUUCCAUGCAUGAAAAGGCCAAUUGCCACAUUUCAAUGAAUGUGAUCGUUACUGCCAUAAGGAUCCCUGAAUAAAGACCUUUUUCUGCAUAAUGUGGGGCGUGGCAGCUCGCAAUAAAUUACACGGAACCAGACCCUCAGCUGGGGUAAAUGUCUGGGGCUCCUCUGGCAGAGAGCUUGAGUUGGAUCAGCUGAGGAUGUGGGGUUUGAUUGAUACAUGGGUUUGAAAAAGGCCAAUCCUUUAAUUUCCACUGGGAAAAGAAGUACCAGCUUUUCACUUCAGGUUCAGUGUUCAUCUCAGAAUUUUGGAAUCUGUGCAUCUUGCCCUUGACCAUGGCACUACAGGUACAAAGCCUAUGAAGUGCUGAGGGAACAGCUGGCGAAACACGAAUGUGCCAGUAAGCUCCAGAGAGGUCUGCAGCAGAGUAAGGGCACAGCUACACAUCAUCCCACACUAAAGGAUCUCCUGCCAAAUUGCAGAGGAGACAGGCAGCCUUUUGUGUUAGUACCCAAAGCCAGGCGAGGCUCUCUCUCACUCGCUAUGGCAACUGUCACUGCGAGAGUGAUGACAGUGGGAACUAAACCGCCACAAGUGAAACUGAAUCAGCUCCUCUGGAAGGAGAACAGCAUUCCUAGCAUACUUCCAGGGCCUCGGGCCAGUGAGGAAAAAGAUCGUUUAUCUCAAGCUUUCUCCCCUUGGCUACAGAACUAACUGCGCUGGUAAGCUAAGUUGCCUCCUUGUCCACACAUCAUUUUGACAGCCUGAUGCUCACUACUCUCUCUUCUUCCUCCCACCAACAGUUUUAGGAAAGCUUACUCUGGUUUGAAAGAAUUCUAUGGGGGAAAAAAAUCAAACCAGACAAUCAAACCCACAAAAUAAAAUAAAAAAUAAAAAGUAGAUCA